GACGAACGCUGGCGGCGUGCUUAACACAUGCAAGUCGAACGGUAAGGCCCUUCGGGGUACACGAGUGGCGAACGGGUGAGUAACACGUGGGUGAUCUGCCCUGCACUUUGGGAUAAGCCUGGGAAACUGGGUCUAAUACCGAAUAGGACCAUGGACUUCACGGUUUGUGGUGGAAAGCUUUUGCGGUGUGGGAUGGGCCCGCGGCCUAUCAGCUUGUUGGUGGGGUAAUGGCCUACCAAGGCGACGACGGGUAGCCGGCCUGAGAGGGUGACCGGCCACACUGGGACUGAGAUACGGCCCAGACUCCUACGGGAGGCAGCAGUGGGGAAUAUUGCACAAUGGGCGCAAGCCUGAUGCAGCGACGCCGCGUGAGGGAUGACGGCCU
RNAcentral lists this ribosomal RNA (385 nucleotides) under uncultured bacterium. RNAcentral's name for it is "bacterial SSU rRNA". It matches the Rfam family "Bacterial small subunit ribosomal RNA", at positions 28 to 417 of the family's 1533-position model. The record is from RNAcentral.